AGCUAAUAGAUACCCUGGUAGUCCUGGCAGUAAACGGUGCACGUUUGGUGUGGGGGGAUUCGACCCCUUCCGCGCCGGAGCUAAACGCGUUAAAAACGUGCCGCCUGGGAAGUACGGUCGCAAGAUUAAAACUCAAAGAAAUUGACGGGGACCCGCACAAGCGGUGGAGUAUGUGGCUUAAUUCGAUGCAACGCGAAGAACCUUACCUGGGUUUGACAUGCACUGUGUCCCCGAUGAAAGUCGGGUAGCAUAGCAAUAUGCGCUUUGCACAGGUGCUGCAUGGCUGUCGUCAGCUCGUGUCGUGAGAUGUUGGGUUAAGUCCCGCAACGAGCGCAACCCCCGGUGAUUUGUUGCCACCUGGUUUUCCAGAGCACUCGAAUCAGACUGCCUCGAUCAACGAGGAGGAAGGUGGGGACGACGUCAAGUCCGUAUGGCCCUUACACCCAGGGCUGCACACGUACUACAAUGCUCAGUACAAUGUGAACCGAUACCGCGAGGUGGAGGAAAUCCAUAAAACCUGGGCUCAGUUCAGAUUGUA
RNAcentral lists this ribosomal RNA (538 nucleotides) under uncultured bacterium. RNAcentral's name for it is "bacterial SSU rRNA". It matches the Rfam family "Bacterial small subunit ribosomal RNA", at positions 767 to 1302 of the family's 1533-position model. The record is from RNAcentral.